UCGUAGACAAACAGUUUAAUAGGUCCCGC
RNAcentral lists this small RNA (29 nucleotides) under Bombyx mori (domestic silkworm). RNAcentral's name for it is "ovarian small RNA-29114". The record is from RNAcentral. Lineage: Eukaryota; Metazoa; Arthropoda; Insecta; Lepidoptera; Bombycidae.